RNAcentral lists this unclassified non-coding RNA (300 nucleotides) under uncultured Nectriaceae. Its description in RNAcentral is "sequence contains 5.8S rRNA gene, ITS2". The stretch from base 1 to 79 matches the Rfam family "5.8S ribosomal RNA", at positions 76 to 154 of the family's 154-position model. The record is from RNAcentral. Lineage: Eukaryota; Fungi; Ascomycota; Sordariomycetes; Hypocreales; Nectriaceae.
GGGGACAGGUGAGUCAUCGAAUCUUUGAACGCACAUUGCGCCCGCCAGUAUUCUGGCGGGCAUGCCUGUUCGAGCGUCAUUUCAACCCUCAAGCCCCCGGGUUUGGUGUUGGGGAUCGGGCUGUACUCCAGCCCGGCCCCGAAAUCUAGUGGCGGUCUCGCUGCAGCCUCCAUUGCGUAGUAGCUAACACCUCGCAACUGGAACGCGGCGCGGCCAAGCCGUUAAACCCCCAACUUCUGAAUGUUGACCUCGGAUCAGGUAGGAAUACCCGCUGAACUUAAGCAUAUCAAUAAGCGGAGG